CCUGCCCAGUGAACACAAUUAAACGGCCGCGGUAUCCUAACCGUGCAAAGGUAGCGCAAUCACUUGUCCCCUAAAUAGAGACUAGUAUGAAUGGUUAAAUGAGGAUUAACCUGUCUCCUGUGAACAAUCAGUGAAACUGAACUUCCAGUACAAAUGCUGGAAUAAACCCAUAAGACGAGAAGACCCUGUGGAGCUUUAAAACUUACCACGAACCACAACAAUCGUACAAAAGUUUUUAGUUGGGGCAACUUUGAAAAUAAAAACAACUUUCAAGUUAAGGAAAAAGAUUAAACCUAAAACGGCCAACAAGCCAAUAAAACUCGACCCGGUCUUAAUAUGACCGACAAACGAACCAAGUUACCCCAGGGAUAACAGCGCCAUCUUCUUUUAGAGUUCAUAUCAACAAGAAGGUUUACGACCUCGAUGUUGGAUCAGGACACCCAAAUGGUGCAGCCGCUAUUAAUGGUUCGUUUGUUCAACGAUUAACAGUCCUACGUGAU
RNAcentral lists this ribosomal RNA (500 nucleotides) under Tetradactylus tetradactylus (longtail whip lizard). RNAcentral describes it as "partial 16S ribosomal RNA". It matches the Rfam family "Bacterial large subunit ribosomal RNA", at positions 1858 to 2604 of the family's 2925-position model. The record is from RNAcentral. Lineage: Eukaryota; Metazoa; Chordata; Lepidosauria; Squamata; Gerrhosauridae.